GCAAGUCGAACGAGAUCCUUCGGGAUUUAGUGGUGGACGGGUAAGGAACGCGUGAGGAUCUGCCUAAAGACCGGGACAACAGCGGGAAACUGCUGCUAAAACCGGAUGUGCCGAGAGGUGAAAUAUUUAUAGCCUUUAGAUGAGCUCGCGUCUGAUUAGCUAGUUGGUGGUGUAAGGGACUACCAAGGCGACGAUCAGUAGCUGGUCUGAGAGGACGAUC
This 220-nucleotide ribosomal RNA is filed under the name uncultured bacterium. Its description in RNAcentral is "partial 16S ribosomal RNA". It matches the Rfam family "Bacterial small subunit ribosomal RNA", at positions 57 to 305 of the family's 1533-position model. The record is from RNAcentral.